Molecule: ribosomal RNA, 590 nt
Filed under: uncultured cyanobacterium
Lineage: Bacteria; Bacillati; Cyanobacteriota
Description: bacterial SSU rRNA
Rfam family: Bacterial small subunit ribosomal RNA
Source: RNAcentral
ACGCUGGCGGCGUGCUUACACUGCGGUUCAAACGAACUUCGGGUUAGUGCCGGACGGGUGAGUAACGCGUGAGAAUCUGCCCUCAGGAGGGGGACAACAGUUGGAAACGACUGCUAAUACCCCAUAUGCCGCGAGGUGACAAUGAAUUUCGCCUGAGGAUGAGCUCGCGUCUGAUUAGCUAGUUGGUGUAGGUAAUGGCUCACCAAGGCAUCGAUCAGUAGCUGGUCUGAGAGGAUGAUCAGCCACACUGGGACUGAGACACGGCCCAGACUCCUUCGGGAGGCACGCAGUGGGGAAUUUUCCGCAAUGGGCGAAAGCCUGACGGAGCAACGCCGCGUGAGGGAUGAAGGCCUCUGGGCUGUAAACCUCUUUUAUCAAGGAAGAAGAUCUGACGGUACUUGAUGAAUAAGCCACGGCUAAUUCCGUGCCAGUAGCCGCAGGUAAUACGGGAGUGGCAAGCGUUAUCCGGAAUUAUUGGGCGUAAAGCGUCCGAAGAGCGGACCUAUCAAGUCUGCUGUUAAAAAGUGGAGCUUCACUCCAUCAUGGCAGUGGAAACUGUUGGGCUUGAGUGUGGUAGGGGCAGAGGGAAU